GCCAAGCGUGGGGCUCAGUUAAAUGCGCGAAGGAGGCGGGAUCGUGAGAAUAGUUCUGGUUUAGAAUGUUGAAAACAAAUGUGG
This is a long non-coding RNA of Melopsittacus undulatus (budgerigar), 84 nucleotides long. RefSeq lists it as uncharacterized. The record is from RefSeq and is a predicted model, not a curated record. Lineage: Eukaryota; Metazoa; Chordata; Aves; Psittaciformes; Psittaculidae. The transcript is spliced from 2 exons.